Heterocephalus glaber (naked mole-rat) is the source of this 453-nucleotide long non-coding RNA. Lineage: Eukaryota; Metazoa; Chordata; Mammalia; Rodentia; Bathyergidae. The record is from Ensembl.
CUGGAAGGCUGAGGUAGGAGGAUCACACGUUCCAGCCUGGGAAAUUUAGUGACAACAUAUUCCUCUCUAAGCUCUUAGGAUAAGUUAUAUACAAUAUGUUGUUUCAUUUAUUAUCUUAAAUCAGACAUGAUGUAAAGAAAGUUAGAACCUUCUCAUUAAUUCAGCCGUACUCUUUAGAACCAAUUCUAUUUCAGUUGAGUAGGCCCUCUGUUCUCUUCACCACGUAUAGAGGCAGAUGUCAGUCACAGAGUCUAUUAGGGUCCUGUCCUGUGAAGUCGCGUACUUGCAUGGCUGAUCAUCCAUACAUUUCCACGGAUUUACAGUAACUAAAAAAUAGCUCUGCACGACCAGGUGCUUCAAUCCUUCAUGUAUUCCCAACAGUGAGGAAAACAGGAAGAGAGGGAAGAUUUUUCUAAACUUCUCAGAUAAAUGACCAACAUCCUUCUGUCGAAG